RNAcentral lists this ribosomal RNA (328 nucleotides) under uncultured eukaryote. Its description in RNAcentral is "partial 18S ribosomal RNA". It matches the Rfam family "Eukaryotic small subunit ribosomal RNA", at positions 1470 to 1796 of the family's 1831-position model. The record is from RNAcentral.
CCCUUAGAUGUUCUGGGCUGCACGCGCGCUACACUGAUGCACUCAACGAGUUUACGACCUUGCCCGAUAGGGUUGGGUAAUCUUUUUAAAAUGCAUCGUGAUGGGGAUAGAUUAUUGCAAUUAUUAAUCUUCAACGAGGAAUUCCUAGUAAGCGCGAGUCAUCAGCUCGUGCUGAUUACGUCCCUGCCCUUUGUACACACCGCCCGUCGCUCCUACCGAUUGGAUGGUCCGGUGAAGCCUCGGGAUUGUGGUUCUUGCCGCUUUAUUGUGGCGUGACCGCGAGAACUUGUCUAAACCUUAUCAUCUAGAGGAAGGUGAAGUCGUAACA